Molecule: long non-coding RNA, 596 nt
Organism: Rosa chinensis
Lineage: Eukaryota; Viridiplantae; Streptophyta; Magnoliopsida; Rosales; Rosaceae
Exons: 2
Source: RefSeq, a predicted model, not a curated record
UGGCUUUUCCACUGUAGAGGGAGUUACUGUAGUUUAAUGAACAUUUUGAAAUACCGGGUUGUGCCCUCUCUUCCUUUCAGCAAUUACACCACACUGCCAUCAAACCCUUAUCUUCCAUAUUGAAAAGUGAAGCCUCCAGCGCCGCGCAGUGAACACUGCUCUUACAUCUCGCUGACUGCCUCCUCUCAUUCGUGUUCGAAGCCUCAAUCCAAUCCCCAGAUUUUCGUACCAGGCUCUGAAAAUCGAAAGCUCUGCAGGUACUAAAGCUUGGGCUACUUUUGAUUGCCAAACUUUCUUUCCAUUUUGCUGAUCAACCAAGAAGCUUCUCCCAUAGAGAUGGAUGAUGAUGUAGAAGAAGAAUAUCAUGGUCAUGGGUCAAGUCAUGGGAUAGAGAUGGAUGAUGAUGUAGAAGAAGAAUAUCAUGGUCAUGGUGCACAAUAAAUGGAAAUGAUAAGAAAUAGCAUUACUCAAAGUUUGAUGAGUGCACGAACUUGAACAUUUGAAUGUGUUAUGAAAUUUUUUGUGGUUACUUGAUGCAAACCAAAAACCAAUUGUUGUUAAUGUUAUUAAUAUAUUUGUAUAAGUUAUUUUUAAAA